This 767-nucleotide long non-coding RNA is filed under the name Daphnia pulicaria. RNAcentral describes it as "uncharacterized LOC124341541, transcript variant X1". Lineage: Eukaryota; Metazoa; Arthropoda; Branchiopoda; Diplostraca; Daphniidae. The record is from RNAcentral.
GAAGAUAAGAAUAAGAUUUAUGCCUGCACAAUUGCUAAACACGAGCAAAGCAUUGCAGUUUUACGAGACGAAGCGAUGAAUGCUCAGCAACUGCUUGCAAGCGCAGAGAUAAAAGUUUCGAUGCUUCAAGAAGAAAAGCAACUACUUCAAGAUCUUGAAAAAAGCCUUACAGUUGAAAGAAAUGCAUUGUUUGCAUGAAUAUUUACGCCGCCCAUCACAAUCCGGAAUUUUUCCCUGAUCCGGAAUCUUUCAAACCGGAUCGAUUCCUGCCGGAGAACAGCGUCGACGACAUCUGUACGCUUUUAUUCCAUUUAGCGGUGGCGUCCGCACUUGCAUCGCGCAAAAAUACGCCAUGAUUGAGCUGAAAGUUUGUCUGGCCAACAUUUUACGGAAAUCGAAAUUUUCUCUUUCCGAUCCAUCGGCAUGAAAAAAAAAUAAAUAAGUUUGCAAUGGCGUUGCUGCAACUUCACGCGCCAUUGGCGGAGAAGACUCAUCCGAAUGCCAUAUGCUGAAUGCCAUAUCGCCCUUUCCGGAUGCUUCCGAGACGCGGACGUCUUUCGAAUUUGAUUAUUCAGCCCUGGCGUUGCCCGUUCCGCUGGAAUUCGCUGACACGGACCGUUUGCAAGAUGUGCCUAUCGACGGCUUUGAUAAAGAGACUGAAGGCUGCGAUGUUCCGACUAUACCGGUGGAGAGUUUAAAUGUUAUAAGUUAUAUGUUAUACGUCGCAUGUUAUAAGUAACGUUGAUGAAAUAAAUAAAAUAAAGUUG